UACAUGGGGUGCAAACGUUGCUCGGAAUUAUUGGGCGUAAAGCGCACGUAGGCGGUUCGUUAAGUCGGAUGUGAAAGCCCUCGGCUCAACUGAGGAAGUGCACCCGAAACUGGCGAGCUUGAGUACGAAAGAGGAUCGCGGAAUUCCCGGUGUAGAGGUGAAAUUCGUAGAUAUCGGGGAGGAACACCGGGUGGCGAAGGCGGCGAUCUGGGUCGAUACUGACGCUGAGGUGCGAAAGCGUGGGGGAGCAAACAGG
Molecule: ribosomal RNA, 256 nt
Filed under: uncultured bacterium
Lineage: Bacteria
Description: partial 16S ribosomal RNA
Rfam family: Bacterial small subunit ribosomal RNA
Source: RNAcentral